CCAGCCAACAUGCUUUGUUUAUAAACCAGAAGAUGCGGGAGAUUUAAACCAAUUGAGAACUUUCAAGUGUUAAAUUUUACAUGAUAAGGAACACAAGAAUACCAAACAACAUUAUUCAAUUAAAGAUAAAACAAUUCCAUGGCUAAGCUGAAAUUUCAAUGUAUCUAUCUUCUAAGCAAUUUCACAUCUCCAUUCAUUGCUUCAAUUUCUGCUCCUCUCAUCCUCUCUCUAGAACCUUAUAAAUGACAAGUAAUUUCCAAGAAAAAGACCCAAUAGAAAAAUCCUGAUCAUGCCAAAACAACACAAACCCACGAACUAUCCAAUUUCAAUCUUCAAUGCCAUAGCUACCAUACUCAUUAUGCAAAAGCUUAAGAAAACUUGUUUCAUUCAAUAAUAAAAGCAGACAUACAACCUAAUCCCAACCACCACCAGCUUCAAAAACAAGCUUCCACAACAACAUUCAUUUAAAGGAAAAACACAAGAGAAAAGCUAGAGAGCAGUAAUUAUUAUUAUCACUGUACAAGCACAAGCCUAGCGUUGUUAUUAUUGCUGUUAUUGUUUCCCAUACCUCCUCUAAACUCCCGAUUAUUAUCAUUUGCAUUCUCCUCCAGUUCAUCUCCCUUAGGAACCGUCACAAUCAACUCUCCAUCUGUUAGAACCGCGCUAGCGAGCUCCGGCCUCGUUGAUUCCGGCAGCCUGAACCUCCACAUAUCCAAUUCCAAAUCAUCCAAUGAGGAUAAUUCCAGAUACCCAUUUGGCCUAACCACGAUUUUAGUGACCCCAGGGUGGAUUUCGAUCGUAUGAGCUCUGACGUCCCCGAUAUUAUCGGUUUCCACCACGAAUCGGAAGCAAUCAGGAUUUUCCUCCACCGAUACAUCGGCGUCCGAGCGGAAAGGGAGCUCCAAGACCCUGCUGAAGAUGUGGGGUAGCCUCCUUAGCUUCUUGUGGGACCCACCAGAAGAUGGGACCCUCCGAUGGCCGACGUUAUUGCCGGUGUGAUUAUUGAUGUAGUAUUGGAUUGCUAUGUUGUUUCUUUUCUUGGGCAUUGGAUGCACCUUCAUGGCUUCUUGGUUUUGAUGGCGGUGUUGGUUGUUUGUGAGAGAACAAGAAAUGGAGCGAGAUUGGGCUACAAUUAAUAGCAGCAGGAUAAAGAUGCUCUGGAGAUAAAAGAUGGGUAAAUUUGAUUGCUGCUGGGAAUCAAAAUCUUUGAAACGAUUUUGCUUAAGGAAUGGAAAAGGCGAAAUAAUGAUCAUAAAAAAAAAAAUUGAAAAACGAAUGGUGGCGUUUCUUGGUUGAGAUUGAGGAGAACCUAAGGCAAAACCGAUCACAACCCUAGGCCUAAAAGAGAAAUGAGAGCUGAAGAUAGGGUUAUAUUUGCAAAAAUCUAUGCUGCUUUUGAUUGAUUGUUCUUUUUGUGUUGUGUGUGCACGAGAUUGAAUGAAUACAAAAGAGAAAAUAUUCUAUCAAUGGAAAGGCAAAGGAGAAAUUUAAUUAAAAAAAGGGUCUGUUUAAUGAAAUCUCUUCCUUU
This 1528-nucleotide unclassified non-coding RNA is filed under the name Hevea brasiliensis (rubber tree). The record is from RNAcentral. Lineage: Eukaryota; Viridiplantae; Streptophyta; Magnoliopsida; Malpighiales; Euphorbiaceae.